This 87-nucleotide transfer RNA is filed under the name Minisyncoccota bacterium. Its description in RNAcentral is "tRNA-Ser". It matches the Rfam family "tRNA". Rfam says of the family: Transfer RNA (tRNA) molecules are approximately 80 nucleotides in length. Their secondary structure includes four short double-helical elements and three loops (D, anti-codon, and T loops). Further hydrogen bonds mediate the characteristic L-shaped molecular structure. tRNAs have two regions of fundamental functional importance: the anti-codon, which is responsible for specific mRNA codon recognition, and the 3' end, to which the tRNAs corresponding amino acid is attached (by aminoacyl-tRNA synthetases). tRNAs cope with the degeneracy of the genetic code in two manners: having more than one tRNA (with a specific anti-codon) for a particular amino acid; and 'wobble' base-pairing, i.e. permitting non-standard base-pairing at the 3rd anti-codon position. The record is from RNAcentral. Lineage: Bacteria; Bacillati; Minisyncoccota.
GGAGGAGUGGCAGAGUGGUCUAUCGCGCUUGUCUUGAAAACAAGAGUCCCUUCACGGGGACCGUGAGUUCGAAUCUCACCUCCUCCG